UACGUAGGGUGCGAGCGUUGUCCGGAAUUACUGGGCGUAAAGAGUUCGUAGGUGGUUUGUCGCGUUGUUCGUGAAAACUCACAGCUUAACUGUGGGCGUGCGGGCGAUACGGGCAGACUGGAGUACUGCAGGGGAGACUGGAAUUCCUGGUGUAGCGGUGAAAUGCGCAGAUAUCAGGAGGAACACCGGUGGCGAAGGCGGGUCUCUGGGCCGAUACUGACGCUGAGGAGCGAAAGCGUGGGGAGCGAACAGG
This 253-nucleotide ribosomal RNA is filed under the name uncultured bacterium. RNAcentral's name for it is "partial 16S ribosomal RNA". It matches the Rfam family "Bacterial small subunit ribosomal RNA", at positions 524 to 776 of the family's 1533-position model. The record is from RNAcentral.